UUUUUUUUCUUUUCUUUUCUUUUCUUUUUAAGUGAUUAAUGUGCUUCAGAGUCUUGUAGGCAUUAAAAAAAAAAAAAAAAAGGAAAAAAAAGAACAAGGAAAGUAAUUCUGUAAGGGCAAGAAAUCAUUAACACAUUUUACACAUCUCAAAACUCAAAACUGAAACGCUAAGAAUAAAAUGUAUUUUAUUCACAGAAGCAGCAUCCUUAAAGUUCUGUAAAAGUGAUACCAUAGACAAGACCACAUCACAGACGAGCAUGGCAGGACUGCUCAGAUUCCAAACACAUUCUGAACAGUCCUCCUGUCACUUUCCUCAAUGGGAACACUUCAGUCUGUCUUCUAUUCAAAUUAAGUAUCUUGCAAGGGAGUUGAAGAAAACUGCAUAGCAGAUUUUAAAACUUCAAUGCUUUUCUCAAUUUUUGCCACAUUCUGAUGCAUUUUACUGACUACAUGGCCAAUAAGUUUAAAGCUUUUUGCAUCGAUAAAUACAAUGCUCCUUUUAGCAAUAGGCUUUUUGUUUUAUAUACAAAGAUCUAUAACUUAAGCUAGUAAACUGGGCAUUUCACAAAUAUUUUGCACAAUUCCUAGCACAGAUUUUAGCAAAAUAAAACCGGUAUCUUUCCACAGUUAAAUGACCAAGGAUAGGAAACUGCACGGUCAAAAUAACCGUUCCAUUAUUUUAUAUAAAUACAAAUGAUAAAGUAGAGUAUGCUUUGGAAAACAGUAUUUCCAUAUGCUAACGAUGAAGUAGAAGACAGUUCCUCAGCCUCAUAUGACACUUGACAACCGAAGUACUCUGGCCCAAGCCUAGCCCGGUUAAACAGAAAUGAGGUAAACGUGUGAGUGACCAUGGUGGGGCAUUCUGAUAGCCACAGUCCAGGAAAGAACAGCUAACAUCUUUCUUCUUCAUGGGAAAACCGAAACAUGCUCAGAGACCUUGAUUCUUUAAAACACAGUGUGCCCCAGUACUAACCUUAAGCUCCCAUUGAUCAAGAUUGCGAUAAACACAGAGCUGUUUAUCCAGGCCCUCGAAAAUCACGGACAUGGUACAUACACAAUGUUUUCAAACACUCAGUGCUGCCAGUAUGUUAAAUGUCCUGUGAUACCAGAGGUCUUGUGCAGGACCAGAAGCGUCGCAGCCUGGUUACCUGUCCUGGUGUUCAAUGCUUUGUAUGUGCAAAACUUGCUGUUACAAUUUACUGGGCUUAAUGUGAUUCGGUUGGUCACAGAAGAGAGCUAUGACGUUUACUUAAUUCCACGCACAGAUUCUCAGGUUCACCUUCCACGAGUGACUGCUCUGUCCACAGGACAGCGGAGGGAAGGCCCAGGAAAGGCCUGGGAGAUGCCAGGCGCUCACAAACUGGUAUCAGUCCGCUGGUUUUGGCUUAAAGGAAAACGGCCAUAGAAGGAACUAAAAGGGCUCACUACAUCUAAUAUCACAAUGUUCUCAACUUUACCUUAGCCAAAAAUAAAAGCGGAAAAGCAAAAGUACUCCAGGGUAUGAUUCCAGUGCUAAUUUGAAACACGGAAUAUUUAGAAGACAAAGCUUAUUGUGAGUGCAAUUAAUAUACACAUGAAACACUGGUUUUGCAAAACCCUGUCUUUGUGAUUGCUUUUACAAAAGUAAAAUUCUCAUGAGGCUCACAUACAUUAACUGAUUUUCAAAUGAAAGGACUGGUAAACUUCAGGGCAUAUGAUUUCUGCCACACACGAGGGGAGCAGUGAGAGAGAAGAGCUAGGAUCAAGUGUGCUGAAGCUGUCCUAGGACUGAAAUUCACUUUCUGCCAAAACAAAACAAACACAGGAGUCUGUCAACUUCGAUAGCAAGCUCUGCUUGAGAAUCAAGACGUUAAAGUUGCAGAGGGGCUUCUCCCUGCUAUGGGCACAUGUGAUCCUUGCAAACACAUAGCUCAGCAUCAUCAAAAACCAGAAGCCAACACAAGCCUUCCAGACAUGAAAUUCAAGAGCAGAAGGGAGCAGAGUCCAAGCUUGCUCCGCAGAACUGUUCCUGGAGGAGAGGAUGUCACAGGGAGGGCAGGGCAAGCAAAAGCAGCUUCCGUCUCACAGCAAGCAGGGUCUGAGCCAGGGGUGCAGUCUCCUCCAACCUGACAAGGAGGUGCGAGGAGCCACAGAGAAGUCAACUUAGGGUCCAUUUUCAGGAAGGGGCAACAAUGAGAAACAUUCUGGUCUUACCCACCCCCUUCUCCACGGUAACAGCUGAACUUGCAUGUCCAGGAUCUCAGGGGUUGUGCGUCUGUCACAUUCCCCACCCCCUCAUGCAGAUGCUCUUCCUGCACCCGGGUGCCCCUCUCUGCGCUGCUCCUGAGGCCACACCUGUUGUCAUGCAGUAGUGACCAGGAAUUCACUUUUGUCCAGGAGAAGUAAACACAGAGUUCACACACUCCUGUACGGGUUUGCUGGCCGAGAAUCUAACCACACUGUCCAAUUCCAGAUGUGCCGGCACCAAGCAGAACGUCAGAUGUCCAGCAUUUAUAAAUGGUAUCAGUGGGUUCUCCUGGGACUCCCAGGCAGCUGCACGAGGAAGGGAGCUGUUGCCCAGUUAUCCUGAGCCAAAGCAAUGCUGCGAGGCAAACACCACAGGUCACAUUGCACUCGAGCACUGAUUUGAGAAUUGCUCAUUCGCGUGUUGAAAGGCAGUAUUAAGAAGAGUUUGGGGUACAGGCAUCAGACAGGCCUGGUCUCAGCCAUGGGACAGCAGUGACUGCCCACAAGUCCCAUAUCUAAGCCCUGACUCCCCAUCCGGCGUUCUUCAGGAUCAAUGCCCACCUCACAGUGCUGCCAUGAAUGCUAAGUCGGCACGUACAUACACAACCAAAUUCAUUUCAAUUGUGCUUUCUACCCCAAUUUAAUACAACCAGGCGCUAUCAUUGAGACUGAAUAACCAAUAUUAGAACAGAAAGUCAGGCCAGGGAUGGUGGCUCAGAUGUGUACUCCCAGCACUUUGGGAAGCUGAGGUGGGUGGAACACUUGAGGUCAGGAGUUGGAGACCAGCCUGGCCAACAUGGCAAAACCCUAUCUCUACUAAAAAUAAAAAAUCAUCCAUGCAUGGUGGCACACAUCUGUAACCCCAGCUACUAGGGAGGCUGAGGCAUUAGAAUCACUUCAACCUGGGAGAUGGAAGUUGCAGUGAACCGAGAUCGUACUACUGUGCUCCACCCUUCCAGCCUGGGUGACAGAGCAAGAUUCUGUCUAAUUUUAAAAAAAUAAAAAUAAAAGGUCAAGAUAAAAACUAAUUGCCAAGGCCCACGUUCCAUGUACUUAAAAUAUAAAAUUCAUUAGCUGGUACUUGAUCAAGUUGUUGUUUUCUUCAUUACAAUCUAGUAUAUCCUAACACGGCUCAAAACGUUUACAUUUGAGCACACCUCGAGUGUGACUAACAACAAAAUAUAAAGUGCCUAUAUUUCAUAAAUGAGCAAGUUCCAGUAAGGCUGCAUUCUGCUCUAGUUAAUCCUUUGACAACGUAAAACUGAGCCAUCCUGACAGCACUGACACAUGGUACAAGAAGAAUGACCUCCAGUUAAGUCCCUAGUUUUAGAGAACACAUACAGUUUAUCACUACUACACUAGCGAUUAGCAAGAAUUUAAAGGAAGAAAAAGUAUCAGGACUGUAACUUGGAAUAAAGACAAAAAACAUGAGAAAUUAGUCACGUUCAAAUCACCCUUUCUGUGUGGUCGUAACAGUUUGCACACCUGGUGUGUAUACUUUAUCAUGCAUAAGCUGUCACCAAGCUCUCUAUGAAGGUGGUAAGAACGUCCCGAGUCGCAGAGCCUCAUAUAUCGCAUUUAAACCCUAAACAGCCAGCACCACACACAGCACGCACUGAGACCUCUGAAUGCUCAGAGGAACGUGUGAUUGGAUGAAGGGCCCCAGCCCUGCCAUCAGCCUGCUGCUUAUUAAAACUAUAAAAGCCUUGCCCUUCAAGGUGCUCAGAUCUAACUAGCACAAGGUUUUGCUUUUAACAAGUUAAAUUACUAUAUAUACAUUCUCUUAGUAGAAAGAAUGUAUAGGAUAGCUAGUUGGGAACAUUUUUUUUUUAAGUUUGUAUGGAGUGAGUUAUCCCAGGGAGCCUGGUUCAUACCUGCAUUAAAAGGCAAUUCAUUAUUCUACAUCAAACCUUUACAGAAGGUUCACAGUAAGAUCCCGGGAAAUGGCUUUCCCAUAGUGAAUUCUCAAUGCUCAGAUUUCAGUAUUGAUACACUUUUGUAAGCAGUCAAGAGAGGGGCGGCUCAGAGGCUGAAAGCACACAGGUCUGGGCCCUCCUGUGUCCGACAGCCUCACCUGGGCCUCGAUUUCUGCACCGCCCAGGGAUGCUCAUGAGAUUGUGCCAAAACGGAUCUGUGCACGCCAAACAGCUCUCAGCAGGCGCUCAACAGCUGGAAGCAGUUCCGCCACCAUCAUCCCCCUUCUAACCAAAUAGAGAACACCUGGUACAGAAGCAGGAGAAACAGGUCUUAAAUGAGCUGGCAAACUCAAAAUGCACCCGAUCUACCAGUCCAAAACAAACAUAUACCACUGCCCAAUAUUGAUGUGAGCCAAAAACAUGGAAGUCCUGAGGGCCCACACUGACCACAGCCAGACACCACUUCUGCAAGAACCAAGCACGCGCCCAGAGAUCACUCGUGAUGACCCAGGAGAGCAGCUUUGGGCAGAGACAAACGAGAAGGAGAGGCAAAGGGGCCAGGGUGCUGGGUGUGCCCAUCUUUGUGACUUCACUGAGUUUGCUGACCUCUGGCCCUUGGUGUCCAUCCUAUGGAGGAGGUAGCCCCCAAAUCCCUGCCUCCCUUCAGGACUGACUCUGAGGCUGCCCUGAAGUCUCCCCAGGCUGAGACUGCUUCUAAAUCCUGUUAACUCCAUACCCACAUAACUAAAAAACAAAAAACAAAAUAUCAAGUAUGCAGACAGGAAUAGAAAAAUGUGAAUCCUCCCCUGUUCAACAGGCAUUUUAAAAGUAACAGGAAAAUUGUGAUAGUCUUCAAACAACCACCAGAUAUCACAUCCUGUUGAAAUGUUUUAGCUAAUCAGGAACAUCUUUACCUAGCACCUGUGUUUUUAGGAAAUCAGUUGACAGAUUCCAAGUAGCCUCGGAACGUGCGACCUGACCCCAUACUCAAGCACAUCACGUCUCCAGGGGAACGAACCCUGGACACCAUUCAAAUGGUGAGGAACAGGAACAAGGGUAGCUUUCCCUCAAAUCCCUCAACACAAAACAAGCUCGACCCCGAUAAGCCUGCCGGCCCCGAGUAUUCCACACCUGGAGAAUAUUCAAACAAAAAACACUGCAAAAGACGUUCCCCUAAAGAGAAACUCAGUUUCUAACGUCCCUUAGGGAAAAAUAUGAGGCCCAGAACUUUCCAGAAAAUCACAAGUCUGAGAGGAAACCACUCACCUCUGACACUUCCUAAACCUGCCUUCCCGCAGGUGCUCAGGGAUGCCCCUGGGCCAGCCCCGUCCACCCAGGACAGCAGCAGGGCUCAGGCAGCCAGCACCUGGGCAGCUGGUGAAGCAACUCCAGGGUGAAACGGUCAUCCCAGACACCACUUCCCGGAGCCCCUCAGCAAGAAAAACAGAGGCGGGGCAGAACCGAGGGCUGACUCCAGGCGGGGGAGCCACAGACUGGCACAACUCAGUCAUCGGACACGCUCUGCUGUGGACAGAGCCCAGGGAGAGGUCAGCACAGACUUUUGUGCCAGCUCCAUGGGCCAGCGUCCUACAGGGCUCCAAGCUUGUGAUCACAGCUUCAGAAUCUGGUUCCAGAAUUUUCCGGAAUCAAAGACAUACCAAACUGUAAAGCUGCCAGGACAGCAGGGCCCAGGAGCAGGCUCGGGGAGGACCAGGUAGAAACCACACACACAGCACACAUGUGUGCAUGCUUUCUCCACACAUGCCACCCCUUCACCCAAUACUAUACACGCAAACACCAUGUAUGCACUCAUACACACCCUCAAAUACACUCACCAAAUGUGAUGCGUGCACACACUCCACACACACCCUCAAAUAUACACGACACACGCAAGAACAUGCUCACUCCACACACACCUGCUAAAUACACUCACCACACACGCACAAACGUGACACAUGUGCACACUCAUUCCAGACAUCACACCCCUCACUAAGUACACAGGUGCACACACCCCCCAGUCCAGAACCUGCAGACUCCACAAGCUUUGAUGUCUCCCAUUGUUUCUCUUAUCACAUGAGAGCCACACACAGGUGUCAUUUAGUGACAUCUAACACCCAGGGAGGCCCUUAAACAGAAUUGCAGUCAGAAGUCGGCUUCAUUCAGGCAUUCACCACCAGCCUCCUGAAGCCACCUCCUGUCUCCACGGGGAGUGGGGGCCGAGAGGGGAGACCCACGGGGAGCGGGGGCCAAGACCAGAGACGUCACUGGGCUUACAGAUCCCC
Molecule: long non-coding RNA, 6424 nt
Filed under: Macaca fascicularis (crab-eating macaque)
Lineage: Eukaryota; Metazoa; Chordata; Mammalia; Primates; Cercopithecidae
Description: lncRNA (ENSMFAG00000056587.1)
Source: RNAcentral